Molecule: transfer RNA, 91 nt
Filed under: Phocaeicola dorei CAG:222
Lineage: Bacteria; Pseudomonadati; Bacteroidota; Bacteroidia; Bacteroidales; Bacteroidaceae
Description: Bacteroides dorei CAG:222 transfer RNA-Ser(GGA)
Rfam family: tRNA
About the family: Transfer RNA (tRNA) molecules are approximately 80 nucleotides in length.
Source: RNAcentral
GGAGAGGUGCUCGAGUGGUUGAAGAGGCACGCCUGGAAAGCGUGUAUACCUCUAAAGGGUAUCCGGGGUUCGAAUCCCCGUCUCUCCGCGA